RNAcentral lists this long non-coding RNA (244 nucleotides) under Setaria italica (foxtail millet). RNAcentral's name for it is "long non-coding RNA (SITA_LNC005773)". The record is from RNAcentral. Lineage: Eukaryota; Viridiplantae; Streptophyta; Magnoliopsida; Poales; Poaceae.
CCACGGCGCCGCCCCGGCGCUCCUCCGCCCUCCGCCGCCACCGGGGACAAGGAUGGAAAGUGACGAGGAGGAGCCGGAAUAAGCCACUUUUUUUGGCUUCCGGUGGGUGGAGAAACGUAGAGACCGCAUUUUGCGGGGCUUCUACUGGCUUUCGCGGGUGAGCCGUUUUGCCUUCUCCCGUUUGGCACGGCUUCAUCAAAUGCCACCCUAGAAGCCGCUCGAUGAGCCGUGCCAAAGGGGCCCU